This 346-nucleotide ribosomal RNA is filed under the name Planothidium frequentissimum. Its description in RNAcentral is "SSU rRNA". It matches the Rfam family "Eukaryotic small subunit ribosomal RNA", at positions 626 to 979 of the family's 1831-position model. Lineage: Eukaryota; Bacillariophyta; Bacillariophyceae; Cocconeidales; Achnanthidiaceae. The record is from RNAcentral.
GCUCGUAGUUGGAUUUGUGGCGUCCGGUUGGGUCCCAGCCUGUCUGGGUGCUCGUGCUGGGUGCCAUCCUUGGGUGGAAGCAGUGUGGCAUUAGGUUGUCGUGCUGUGGAUGCCCAUCGUUUACUGUGAAAAAAUCAGCGCGUUCAAAGCAGGCUUAUGCCGUUGAAUGUAUUAGCAUGGAAUAAUAAGAUAGGACCUUGGUACUAUUUUGUUGGUUUGCGCACCGAGGUAAUGAUUAAUAGGGACAGUUGGGGGUAUUCGUAUUCCAUUGUCAGAGGUGAAAUUCUUGGAUUUCUGGAAGACGAACUACUGCGAAAGCAUUUACCAAGGAUGUUUUCAUUAAUCA